GAUGAACGCUAGCUACAGGCUUAACACAUGCAAGUAGAGGGGCAGCAUUAGAGAAGCUUCGGCUUAUUUAGAUGGCGACCUGCGAAUGGGUGAGUAACACGUAUCCAACCUGGCUGUUACUGGAGGAUAGCCUCCCGAAAGGGAAAGUAAGACUCCAUAGAAUGAUUGCAAGACAUCUUGUGAUGAUUAAAGGUUACGGUAACAGAUGGGGAUGCGUCCCAUUAGGCAGUUGGCGGGGUAACGGCCCACCAAACCGACGAUGGGUAGGGGUUCUGGAGAGGAAGGUCCCCCACAUUGGAACUGAGACACGGUCCAAACUCCUACGGGAGGCAGCAGUGAGGAAUAUUGGUCAAUGGACGGAAGUCUGAACCAGCCAAGUAGCGUGCAGGAAGACGGCCCUAUGGGUUGUAAAACUGCUUUUAUACGAGGGUAAAGUGUGCCACGUGUGGCAUAUUGCAAGUAUCGUAAGAAAAGGAUCGGCUAAUUCCGUGCCAGCAGCCGAC
RNAcentral lists this ribosomal RNA (503 nucleotides) under uncultured bacterium. Its description in RNAcentral is "bacterial SSU rRNA". It matches the Rfam family "Bacterial small subunit ribosomal RNA", at positions 28 to 518 of the family's 1533-position model. The record is from RNAcentral.